CUUGGAUGAUUCAUAUUUACAGAUGCAAGAAAACUCCGUGAAAACUAUUCGAAUGAAGACAACGAAAUUGGUGCCGUAGAAAGGGAAGAUGGACCACAAAAACGGCUAUACCAUUAUAAAAUCUGCGACUCACGAUGUGUUGCAAGAAACUACUCCAAUAAGCAGGUGCUUUGCAGUAAAAAUCAGAAUGGGGUCUGCGAUGCCUACUUCAUAAACUGAAGUUAAUAUAUCCUUCCUGUUGACGAUUGAAAAUGUUUGUGCCGAUAUGAUUGCG
Molecule: long non-coding RNA, 274 nt
Organism: Dendronephthya gigantea
Lineage: Eukaryota; Metazoa; Cnidaria; Anthozoa; Malacalcyonacea; Nephtheidae
Exons: 3
Source: RefSeq, a predicted model, not a curated record